GUGUUUGGGGUGGGGGGUGCUUCUCUGAGGGGGGGUGUAAUGUGUAGUAGGCAUUCCUUCUCUUCAGGAUGCAGUAUGCAGGUGAGGUCAUGUUUCAUAUUGUGUAGCUGGGUGUUUUGUGAGUCGGUUUGCAGUCAAGCUUUGUUUGUCUUUGCAGAUGUGUGCAGAUCUGGUACCGUGUUGUUCCCUGAAGGGUCGUAACUACUUCUCUGUGACCGUGUCAUGACAUUGCUGUAUGUCUGUCAAUGUAUGGGAGUGAAGGCCUGUGUACAAAGAACAAGAAGAUCUUGAGAGCGGGAGCGGCUGUCAAAGUUAAGUCUCUGCUGAAGGGUUUGAUAGUCAGAAGUAUUUGUACUGUUGAGGCUUCUUGUUUAGGGACAGAAGUCCUGUAAACUCUGCUAGUUAACUGGUGUUUUGAGGGAGCUCAUUGUAUGGAGGGAGUGUGCAUUUUCUGUGGAGGAAGGUUGAAUGCUGGCAGAGUGACCUGUCCAUAAUUAGAGAUGCUCUGUUCUCCAUUCUUGUCUCUUACACAGCACUGGGUUUGCAUCACUGGUCACCACUACCUUGUUUGUCUGUCCUCUACUGGGUGUUGGUUCUUCAGGAGGAUGUGAGCAUUGUAGUUAGUGAUGGGCUCCAGUCAGGGUGGGAAAAGGCCAUGAGUAUUGUGUAAUUUUUGAGUAUGUUGCGUGUUCAUUUUAAUUAUAUAGAAGUAGCUGGUUGCUCCUUCAUUGUGGGUAUGAAUGUGUCAGGGCUCUUUUGGUGUGUUGAAUAGGUCAGUUUAGCAAAGGGAGUGUGGUAUUGGGGCAUUUAGUGAUAAUGUGACAUUUAUUGUUUGUGUGCCACAGGGGCAUCUGAGUCCAGAACUGAGGGAAUGGGCUGGGGCAAGUGCUGCCUGUUUGGUCUACAUGGUGCCAGUGGGAGCAGAGGAGCCGGUUGCAUCUAUGAGGUACUUAAGAGGCUUCUGGAGGUGCAGUUUGGAAAAGAACGUUGUGCAAGGUGUGUUGUCUAAGGAUAAUGAGCUGAUUGAAAAUGUGUGAUGAAAUGAAGAGUAGAUAAUGCGGGUGCAUCUGGGGACGUGAAAAUGCGAUAGUCCUGGGUGGAGGUAGAGGAAAUUGUUGUUUGGUUGAGGUAAGUAUUGUGAAUUUGGAAAUUGUGAAUAUGGAGAAACAUUUUCUAUGUUUGCAUGUGGUGGGGUUCUGAGCAAAGAGAUUGUCAAACUGUGUUCUGAGUUUAAUAUUGGAAGGAGAUAUUGGGAUUUGGAUAGGGAGUGUAAUAGUGUUGGUGAAAUAUGAUUGAUUUUUUGGGGUGCAGGUUUCCUGUCAGUCAUGGUGCCUAGUUCUCAACUAUUGUGGUAAAUUAUUUGGGUGUGAAGUCCUGGUGAUGGUAAUGUAUUAUCUUCCUCUACUUCCCAUUGGUGUGUUCUGAACAUGGUUUGAGAUACUCUUUAGGCUGUUGGUCAGUGUGCAGUUGAAGUGCUGGUAAAGUUUUUUGUCAUUGUAGGUUUGGUGUGAAGAUGGGGUCCAAUUUGACAAAGAACCAGUGAUGUUGAAGUAAGACUGUGGGGGACAUGAAGUACUUGUUUCCAAACUGGAAGUGGAUUUGAUGUCUGGUUUGCAAGAAGUUAUUGCCGUCUGUGUGGUCUGAAGGUAUCGGUGUCACCGGAGAAGACUUUGGUGUGCUUUGUUUGGAAGAACUGGGGUUAGAUUGUAUAUUUUUUGGGGGUUGCAAUGUGAAGUGUCCUCUUCUUCUUUUGAUGGCUAGAAUGUAGUAGAGCAUUGGGGCUGGUGUCACUGUUUGGGUAUAUAGCAGAACUGCCAAUAUCAUGAAAUGGCAUUGUCAUUUCUGCAAUCCCAACGGGAGAGAUUGGGUUCAUUUGUUUGGUCUGUUGUGCGAAGUAGUUCCUGUAAUUACUUGCACAAAAUGUUACUUUCUUUUGAAAGGAGUAUUGUGCUUGCCACUUUAAAAGUUCUAGCCAUCAAAGUUGCAAGAGAACACUGUUAGGGGUUGUAUAAUUGCUUUGGGCAUUCUGAACUGUUUGUCAAUUUUAUUCAUAUUGUUGUGCAUGCUGUAUUUGUAGAGCUGUAAUGUAUAGCUUGGAUUAUGGUCAGAUGACUCAUUUAGUUAUCCAUGUGGUUGUGUGCUAAUCACUGCAGUGAUUUUGAAACCAUGGUGCAGUGCAGUCAAACAGCCUGAAGGCUGAUGUUGUUGCCAAUUUGUCAGCCUUUUGGCUGUUUUGCUACACUGCACCAUGGUUGGGACUGUCCCGGGCAGUCUUUGACUUAACUUUUUGCAUGUGGAGGUGCUGUUGAGGGAGCAUUCUGGCCAGUUAUUGGUGAGGUGUGGUUGAGCCCCACACCCACCUAUCACAAUAUGUACAAGGUUUAGUACUGGUGAUGUUUUGAAGUAUAUUGAAAUGAAAUGUGAACAUUGCUUUCUAGUUAUGUAAUACAUUAUAUGAAUGUAUGCAAAACAUUGUCAUUGAAUUUGUAUGCCAUACUGUACAGUGUCCAAUAUUUGAAAGUUGUUUAAUGUAGUGGAUGCUUUGCUAAGUCAAUAAAAGCACCAUCUUGUUGA
This is a long non-coding RNA of Dermochelys coriacea (leatherback sea turtle), 2574 nucleotides long. RefSeq lists it as uncharacterized. The record is from RefSeq and is a predicted model, not a curated record. The transcript is spliced from 4 exons. NCBI's taxonomy places the organism in Eukaryota, Metazoa, Chordata, Testudines, Dermochelyidae.